AGGAGAGCAGGAUUUCUCUGUCUCUUCCAAACUUUUACUCUCAGAACUGGAGGGAAACCAUUCUGUGUUCACUCCCUCUGGUUGACAGCCACUCAUACAGGACCCUUCUGACAUUUAAAACUGGGAGAUGGACAGGUUAUCAAUGAACCUUCUCAGCCUCAUGAUUAGCUUGAUGAAAAAUUGCACAUACUCGCUGCAGCAAUAUAUCACCAUCAAGAAUAAAAAGGAAGACUACAUCUUAAAGAAACAGCCUUCAAAUGCCCCUCUACAGCUUUUCAGUAGCAUAAGAUAAAUUUGGAAUAGAAAUAAGCUACAGUUCUUAAGAACUAACACUCCUAAAAGAUUUAGAACAAAAGUUUAAAACAUAGUCUGGUUUAUGAAGAAGUUUUGUGCUACACCGGUUUUGUAAAAAUAUUUUGAAAAUCGUUAUAACUGUUUUUUUGUUCCAGCAAGUAUUGGACUAACUUGUUUCUACUUCAAUAAACCUUUGGAAAAACCAACCAGCAAACAACAACGAUUUUAAAAAUGCUUCUUGGGAUGAGUUGAAGAGAGAAUGGAAGAAACACUGAAAGGAAAUGUGAUACCAUGGAAAGUACACUGAACUGGGAAAUAGAAAGUAUGAGUUUUCAAUCCACCACCGAGCCCCUAUGUUACCUUAGCUGGGAUAUCUACCUUCUCCUGCCCUCAGACAUCAGAACUCUUGUUUCUCAGGCCUUCUGGCUCAGACUGAAUUACACAAGCUUUCCUGGAUCUCUGGCUUGCAGAUGACAUACCAUGGGACUUCACUGGCCUUCAUAUCUGCCCAAACUGGAAACAAUCCAGAUGUCCCUCAACACAUGAAUGGAUAAGCAGAUUUUGGCAUUUCUAUGCAAUGGAAAGCUACUUAUUAAUUAAAAGGAAUGAACUAUUGAUACAUGCACCAGCAUGGGUAAGUCACAAUUCAUUAUGCAGAGUAAAAGAAGCCAGAAAAAGAAAGAGUACAUACUAUAUGAUUCCAUUCAUAUAAACCUGUGGAAAAUGCAAUUUCAUCUACAGUGA
RNAcentral lists this long non-coding RNA (1038 nucleotides) under Homo sapiens (human). Lineage: Eukaryota; Metazoa; Chordata; Mammalia; Primates; Hominidae. The record is from RNAcentral.